This 394-nucleotide ribosomal RNA is filed under the name uncultured bacterium. Its description in RNAcentral is "bacterial SSU rRNA". It matches the Rfam family "Bacterial small subunit ribosomal RNA", at positions 30 to 426 of the family's 1533-position model. The record is from RNAcentral.
AUUGAACGCUGGCGGCAUGCCUUACACAUGCAAGUCGAACGGCAGCACGGGAGCAAUCCUGGUGGCGAGUGGCGAACGGGUGAGUAAUAUAUCGGAACGUGCCCAGUCGUGGGGGAUAACGCAGCGAAAGCUGUGCUAAUACCGCAUACGAUCUAUGGAUGAAAGCGGGGGAUCGCAAGACCUCGCGCGAUUGGAGCGGCCGAUAUCAGAUUAGCUAGUUGGUGAGGUAAAGGCUCACCAAGGCGACGAUCUGUAGCUGGUCUGAGAGGACGACCAGCCACACUGGAACUGAGACACGGUCCAGACUCCUACGGGAGGCAGCAGUGGGGAAUUUUGGACAAUGGGCGCAAGCCUGAUCCAGCAAUGCCGCGUGCAGGAUGAAGGCCUCGGUUGU